GAUUAACGCUAGCGGCAGGCCUAAUACAUGCAAGUUGUACGGGAUUAUUGGUAGCAAUACCGGUAUGAGAGUAGCGCACGGGUGCGUAACACGUAUGCAACCUACCUUUAACUGGGGAAUAGCUCACCGAAAGGUGAAUUAACACCGCAUAAAAUCACAGAAGGACAUCCCUCAAUGAUUAAAUCUCCGGAGGUUAAAGAUGGGCAUGCGUCCGAUUAGCUAGUUGGCGGGGU
Molecule: ribosomal RNA, 233 nt
Filed under: uncultured bacterium
Lineage: Bacteria
Description: partial 16S ribosomal RNA
Rfam family: Bacterial small subunit ribosomal RNA
Source: RNAcentral